This 254-nucleotide ribosomal RNA is filed under the name uncultured bacterium. RNAcentral's name for it is "partial 16S ribosomal RNA". It matches the Rfam family "Bacterial small subunit ribosomal RNA", at positions 524 to 777 of the family's 1533-position model. The record is from RNAcentral.
UACGAAGGGGGCUAGCGUUGCUCGGAAUCACUGGGCGUAAAGGGUGCGUAGGCGGGUCUUUAAGUCAGGGGUGAAAUCCUGGAGCUCAACUCCAGAACUGCCUUUGAUACUGAAGAUCUUGAGUUCGGGAGAGGUGAGCGGAACUGCGAGUGUAGAGGUGAAAUUCGUAGAUAUUCGCAAGAACACCAGUGGCGAAGGCGGCUCACUGGCCCGAUACUGACGCUGAGGCACGAAAGCGUGGGUAGCAAACAGGG